GACGAACGCUGGCGGCGUGCUUAACACAUGCAAGUCGAACGGAAAGGCCCUGCUUUUGUGGGGUGCUCGAGUGGCGUACGGGUGAGUAACACGUGAGUAACCUGCCCUUGACUUUGGGAUAACUUCAGGAAACUGGGGCUAAUACCGGAUAGGAGCUCCUGCUGCAUGGUGGGGGUUGGAAAGUUUCGGCGGUUGGGGAUGGACUCGCGGCUUAUCAGCUUGUUGGUGGGGUAGUGGCUUACCAAGGCUUUGACGGGUAGCCGGCCUGAGAGGGUGACCGGCCACAUUGGGACUGAGAUACGGCCCAGACUCCUACGGGAGGCAGCAGUGGGGAAUAUUGCACAAUGGGCGGAAGCCUGAUGCAGCAACGCCGCGUGCGGGAUGACGGCCUUCGGGUUGUAAACCGCUUUCGCCUGUGACGAAGCGUGAGUGACGGUAAUGGGUAAAGAAGCACCGGCUAACUACGUGCCAGCAGCCGCGGUGAUACGUAGGGUGCGAGCGUUGUCCGGAUUUAUUGGGCGUAAAGGGCUCGUAGGUGGUUGAUCGCGUCGGAAGUGUAAUCUUGGGGCUUAACCCUGAGCGUGCUUUCGAUACGGGUUGACUUGAGGAAGGUAGGGGAGAAUGGAAUUCCUGGUGGAGCGGUGGAAUGCGCAGAUAUCAGGAGGAACACCAGUGGCGAAGGCGGUUCUCUGGGCCUUUCCUGACGCUGAGGAGCGAAAGCGUGGGGAGCGAACAGGCUUAGAUACCCUGGUAGUCCACGCUGUAAACGGUGGGUACUAGGUGUGGGGUCCAUUCCACGGGUUCCGUGCCGUAGCUAACGCUUUAAGUACCCCGCCUGGGGAGUACGGCCGCAAGGCUAAAACUCAAAGGAAUUGACGGGGCCCCGCACAAGCGGCGGAGCAUGCGGAUUAAUUCGAUGCAACGCGUAGAACCUUACCUGGGUUUGACAUGGAUCGGGAGUGCUCAGAGAUGGGUGUGCCUCUUUUGGGGUCGGUUCACAGGUGGUGCAUGGCUGUCGUCAGCUCGUGUCGUGAGAUGUUGGGUUAAGUCCCGCAACGAGCGCAACCCUUGUUCACUGUUGCCAGCACGUUAUGGUGGGGACUCAGUGGAGACCGCCGGGGUCAACUCGGAGGAAGGUGGGGAUGACGUCAAGUCAUCAUGCCCCUUAUGUCCAGGGCUUCACGCAUGCUACAAUGGCUGGUACAGAGAGUGGCGAGCCUGUGAGGGUGAGCGAAUCUCGGAAAGCCGGUCUCAGUUCGGAUUGGGGUCUGCAACUCGACCUCAUGAAGUCGGAGUCGCUAGUAAUCGCAGAUCAGCAACGCUGCGGUGAAUACGUUCCCGGGGCU
This 1346-nucleotide ribosomal RNA is filed under the name uncultured bacterium. RNAcentral's name for it is "partial 16S ribosomal RNA". It matches the Rfam family "Bacterial small subunit ribosomal RNA", at positions 28 to 1381 of the family's 1533-position model. The record is from RNAcentral.